AACGAACGCUGGCGGCAUGCCUAACACAUGCAAGUCGAACGAGAUCUUCGGGUCUAGUUGCUCACGGGUGCGUAACGCGUGGGAACCUGCCCUUAGGGUCGGAAUAACGCCCCGAAAGGGGUGCUAAUACCGGAUAAUGUCUGCGGACCAAAGAUUUAUCGCCUUUGGAUGGGCCCGCGUUGGAUUAGCUAGUUGGUAGGGUAAAAGCCUACCAAGGCGAAGAUCCAUAGCUGGUCUGAGAGGAGGAUCAGCCACACUGGGACUGAGAACCGGCCCAGAAUCCUACGGGAGGCAGCAGUGGGGAAUAUUGGAAAAUUGGCGAAAGCCUGAUCCAGCAAUGCCGCGUGAGUGAUGAAGGCCUUAGGGUUGUAAAGCUCUUUUACACGGGAUGAUAAUGACAGUACCGGGAGAAUAAGCUCCGGCUAACUCCGUG
This 433-nucleotide ribosomal RNA is filed under the name uncultured bacterium. RNAcentral describes it as "partial 16S ribosomal RNA". It matches the Rfam family "Bacterial small subunit ribosomal RNA", at positions 29 to 507 of the family's 1533-position model. The record is from RNAcentral.